Molecule: transfer RNA, 67 nt
Filed under: Labidostomis taxicornis
Lineage: Eukaryota; Metazoa; Arthropoda; Insecta; Coleoptera; Chrysomelidae
Description: tRNA-Cys
Source: RNAcentral
AGUCUUAUAUUCAAUAAUGAUUCUGGAUUGCAAAUCUAGAGGUGGAGCAGGUUAGCUUCUAAGGCUU